AACGAACGCUGGCGGCAGGCCUAACACAUGCAAGUCGAACGAGUAAGAGCCGUAGCAAUACGGAGUUCUGCUAGUGGCGCACGGGUGAGUAACGCGUGGGAACGUGCCUUGGAGUUCGGGAUAACAGUUGGAAACGACUGCUAAUACCGAAUAUUCCCUCAGGGGAAAGAUUUAUCGCUCCAAGAUCGGCCCGCGUAAGAUUAGGUAGUUGGUGGGGUAAUGGCCUACCAAGCCUACGAUCUUUAGCUGGUCUGAGAGGACGACCAGCCACACUGGAACUGAGACACGGUCCAGACUCCUACGGGAGGCAGCAGUGGGGAAUAUUGGGACAAUGGGCGAAAGCCUGAUCCAGCCAUGCCGCGUGAAUGAUGAAGGCCUUAGGGUUGUAAAAUUCUUUGUCAGGGGAAGAUAAUGACGGUACCCUGCGAAUAAGCUCCGGCUAACUUCGUGCCAGCAGCCGCGGUAA
This 466-nucleotide ribosomal RNA is filed under the name uncultured bacterium. RNAcentral's name for it is "bacterial SSU rRNA". It matches the Rfam family "Bacterial small subunit ribosomal RNA", at positions 29 to 523 of the family's 1533-position model. The record is from RNAcentral.